RNAcentral lists this ribosomal RNA (538 nucleotides) under Trigonopterus sp. 904 AR-2022a. Its description in RNAcentral is "partial large subunit ribosomal RNA". It matches the Rfam family "Bacterial large subunit ribosomal RNA", at positions 1819 to 2625 of the family's 2925-position model. Lineage: Eukaryota; Metazoa; Arthropoda; Insecta; Coleoptera; Curculionidae. The record is from RNAcentral.
GGCUUGUUGACUAUAAUUUCAAGUCUGACCUGCCCAGUGAGGAGUUUAACGGCCGCGGUAUAUUGACCGUGCAAAGGUAGCAUAAUCAUUAGUUUUUUAAUUGAAAGCUUGAAUGAAAGGUUUGAUGAGAAAAAUUCUGUCUCUGUAAAAAUUUAUUAGAAUUUUAUUUUUAAGUUAAAAAGCUUAAAUUUAAGUAGAAGACGAGAAGACCCUAUAGAGUUUUAUAUUUUUAUAAGUGGUAAAGUUUUAGGAUGGUGAAAUUUUAUUAUUUGUAGGAUUAUUUUGUUGGGGUGAUGGAAAAAUUAAAUAAACUUUUUUUUGUUUGGCACAUUAAUUUAUGAGUUGCAUGAUCCUGAAUUUUAGAUUAUAAGAUUAAACUACCUUAGGGAUAACAGCGUAAUUUUUUUUAGAGUUCUUAUCGAAAAAAAAGAUUGCGACCUCGAUGUUGGAUUAAAAUUAAUUAUUGGUGUAGAAGCUAAUAUAUUAGGUCUGUUCGACCUUUGAAAUUUUACAUGAUCUGAGUUUAAACCGGUGUGAG